RNAcentral lists this long non-coding RNA (1913 nucleotides) under Salmo salar (Atlantic salmon). RNAcentral describes it as "lncRNA (ENSSSAG00000084987.1)". The record is from RNAcentral. Lineage: Eukaryota; Metazoa; Chordata; Actinopteri; Salmoniformes; Salmonidae.
CUUGGUCUCUGGGGAAGGUCUGAACCAGUCAACCCAGAGGGGAUGUCUAGGUCUCUGGAGAAGGUCUGAACCAGUCAACCCAGAAGGGAUGUCUUGGUCUCUGGGGAAGGUCUGAACCAGUCAACCCAGAGGGGAUGUCUAGGUCUCUGGAGAAGGUCUGAACCAGUCAACCCAGAAGGGAUGUCUAGGUCUCUGGGGAAGGUCUGAACCAGUCAACCCAGAGGGGAUGUCUAGGUCUCUGGAGAAGGUCUGAACCAGUCAACCCAGAAGGGAUGUCUAGGUCUCUGGGGAAGGUCUGAGCCAGUCAACCCAGAGGGGAUGUCUAGGUGUCUGGGGAAGGUCUGAACCAGUCAACUCAGAUGGGAUGUCUAGGUGUCUGGGGAAGGUCUGAACCAGUCAACUCAGAGGGGAUGUCUAGGUGUCUGGGGAAGGUCUGAACCAGUCAACUCAGAGGGGAUGUCUAGGUGUCUGGGGAAGGUCUGAACCAGUCAACCCAGAGGGGAUGUCUAGGUGUCUGGGGAAGGUCUGAACCAGUCAACCCAGAGGGGAUGUCUAGGUGUCUGGGGAAGGUCUGAACCAGUCAACUCAGAGGGGAUGUCUAGGUGUCUGGGGAAGGUCUGAACCAGUCAACCCAGAGGGGAUGUCUAGGUCUCUGGAGAAGGUCUGAACCAGUCAACCCAGAGGGGAUGUCUAGGUCUCUGGAGAAGGUCUGAGCCAGGCGUUCCACCCUAUUCUAUAUGGAGGUAGAGUCCCUAUCCUCCAGCCCAGGAAUGUGUCCCAAAUGGAAGUCUAUUCCCAAUUUAGUGCACUACAUUUGACCAGACAUUUGGGAUGACACAAGCCUCAGAGGCCAUGAAAUCCACCUGGUCAGGGAUCUGCCCUCCAGUCUCCAUGCAAUAAUUCUGGAGCUGCUGGGUUUAUAAAUGAGGCCACAUAUAUACCACCAUCAACCCCUACUCUAGCACCAUCCUGGCUGGUGCUGCAAAAUUACAGUGACUUUACCAAAAUCCAUAUUCCCUCCUGAUUCUGGGAAUCUUCCAAUCAGGUUUCAUGGGAAAGUUAUCAGAAUAUUGCAAACCUAAUCCAGGCAGUGCUGCUUGGUGUUGUCAAUCGAAUUAUGCUUGCAUUCCAAAUAUGGUCUCCACCUGAGAAUAAGGAGAAACCUUUUUUGUUCUAGGUAGAACCAUUUUUGGUUCCAUGUAGAACCCGUUUGAGUUCCAUGUAGAACUUCAAAGGGUUCUCCUAUGGGGACAGCCGAAGAACCCUUUGAGGUUCUACAUAGCUCCUUUUUUUCUAAGCGUGUACACAUACUCUGGCAGCCGUUUCACUGCUUUCUGACAUCCCAUAUGUCAGUGACAGCCACAGAUUAGGACUUUCAGAAAGUUACAUAAAAACAAAAAUGCACGACAAACGCAGCAGUACCCUCAUCCCUUCAAGGGUGACCACAUCCCAAAUUACAACCUGUUCUUUAUUUAGUGCACUACUUUUGACCAGAGCGCUAUGGGCUAUGUAAGGAAUGGGUACACUACAUUGGGAAGAGGGUGCUACUUGGGACACAGCCAGUGAAGAUCAGCAGCAACCCAGACUACUCUUGUCAACACUGUCAGUGUGAUUCCAAUGCUCUGUCUGUCUGUCUGUCUGUCUGUCUGUCUGUCUGUCUGUCUGUCUGUCUGUCUGUCUGUCUGUCUGGUUCCAACACUCUGUCUGUCUGUCUGUCUGUCUGUCUGUCUGUCUGUCUGUCUGUCUGUCUGUCUGUCUGUCUGUCUGUCUGUCUGUCUGUCUGUCUGUCUGUCUGUCUGUCUGGUUCCAACACUCUGUCUGUCUGUCUGUCUGUCUGUCUGUCUGUCUGUCUGUCUGUCUGUCUGUCUGUCUGUCUGUCUGUCUGUCUGUCUGUCUGUCUGUCUGUCUGUCUG